RNAcentral lists this ribosomal RNA (441 nucleotides) under uncultured bacterium. RNAcentral describes it as "partial 16S ribosomal RNA". It matches the Rfam family "Bacterial small subunit ribosomal RNA", at positions 338 to 795 of the family's 1533-position model. The record is from RNAcentral.
CCUACGGGUGACAGCAGUGGGGGAUAUUGCACAAUGGGGGAAACCCUGAUGCAGCGACGCCGCGUGGGUGAAGAAGUAUUUCGGUAUGUAAAGCCCUAUCAGCAGGGAAGAAAGAAGACGGUACCUGACUAAGAAGCCCCGGCUAACUACGUGACAGCAGCCGCGGUAAUACGUAGGGGGCGAGCGUUAUCCGGAUUCACUGGGGGUAAAGGGAGCGUAGACGGCCGUGCAAGCCAGGAGUGAAAGCCCGGGGCCCAACCCCGGGACUGCUCUUGGAACUGUGCGGCUGGAGUGCGGGAGGGGCAGGCGGAAUUCCUGGUGUAGCGGUGAAAUGCGUAGAUAUCAGGAGGAACACCGGCGGCGAAGGCGGCCUGCUGGACCGCGACUGACGUUGAGGCUCGAAAGCGUGGGGAGCGAACAGGAUUAGAUACCCGAGUAGUC